GAAAUUAGGAUAACAAGAAUUUUUGUUGAUAGAUGAGUAUUGUUUUAGAUUUUUUGAUCAAUAGUUGUAUUUUAUAAAUAUAAUUCCCAAAAAUUCUAUUUUAGGAAAGUUUUCAUUUUUUUCAUAGAAAUAUUGUAGAUUUGGGUUUGUGGUUUAGAAAUUAGGAUAACAAGAAUUUUUGUUGAUAGAUGAGUAUUUGAUUCUCAGAAAUUCUAUUUUUGGAAAGUUUUCAUUUUUUCAUAGAAACAUUGUAGAUUAGGGGUUGUGGUUUAGAAAUUAGGAUAACAAGAAUUGUUGUUGAUAGAUGAGUAUUUUUUUUUUAAAUUUUUGAUCAAUAAGUUACAUUUUUAAAAAAUAAUUCUCAAAAGUUCUAUUUUAGGAAAGUUUUCAUUUUUUAUAGAAAUAUUGUAGAUUUGGGGUUGUGAUUUAGAAAUUAGGAUAACAAUAAUUUUUGUU
This 456-nucleotide long non-coding RNA is filed under the name Brassica napus (rape). RNAcentral's name for it is "long non-coding RNA (BNAP_LNC003681)". Lineage: Eukaryota; Viridiplantae; Streptophyta; Magnoliopsida; Brassicales; Brassicaceae. The record is from RNAcentral.